GGGGACGCAGCUCAGUGGUAGAGCACUGGCCUCGCAUGCACCAGGACCUGGGUUCCAUCCCCAGCACCCCCA
This 72-nucleotide transfer RNA is filed under the name Ictidomys tridecemlineatus (thirteen-lined ground squirrel). RNAcentral's name for it is "Spermophilus tridecemlineatus (thirteen-lined ground squirrel) tRNA". It matches the Rfam family "tRNA". From Rfam's summary of the family: Transfer RNA (tRNA) molecules are approximately 80 nucleotides in length. Their secondary structure includes four short double-helical elements and three loops (D, anti-codon, and T loops). The record is from Rfam by way of RNAcentral. Lineage: Eukaryota; Metazoa; Chordata; Mammalia; Rodentia; Sciuridae.